This 369-nucleotide ribosomal RNA is filed under the name uncultured bacterium. Its description in RNAcentral is "bacterial SSU rRNA". It matches the Rfam family "Bacterial small subunit ribosomal RNA", at positions 525 to 896 of the family's 1533-position model. The record is from RNAcentral.
ACGUAGGAUGCGAGCGUUGUCCGGAAUCACUGGGUGUAAAGGGAGCGCAGGCGGUUUAGCAAGUCAUUGGUGAAAUUCCCAGGCUCAACCUGGGGGCUGCCAAUGAUACUGCUGAUCUUGAGUGUGGAAGAGGUAGAUGGAAUUCCUGGUGUAGCGGUGAAAUGCGUAGAUAUCAGGAAGAACACCGAUGGCGAAGGCAGUCUACUGGUCCAUUACUGACGCUCAUGCUCGAAAGCGUGGGGAUCAAACAGGAUUAGAUACCCUGGUAGUCCACGCCCUAAACGAUGGAUACUCGAUGUCGUGCCGCAAGGCUCGGUGUCUAAGCAAACGCAGUAAGUAUCCCACCUGGGAAGUACGAUCGCAAGGUUG